Molecule: ribosomal RNA, 472 nt
Filed under: uncultured bacterium
Lineage: Bacteria
Description: bacterial SSU rRNA
Rfam family: Bacterial small subunit ribosomal RNA
Source: RNAcentral
UGGGGAAUUUUGGACAAUGGGCGCAAGCCUGAUCCAGCCAUGCCGCGUGAGUGAAGAAGGCCUUCGGGUUGUAAAGCUCUUUUGUCAGGGAAGAAACGGUAGUAGCGAAUAACUACUACUAAUGACGGUACCUGAAGAAUAAGCACCGGCUAACUACGUGCCAGCAGCCGCGGUAAUACGUAGGGUGCAAGCGUUAAUCGGAAUUACUGGGCGUAAAGCGUGCGCAGGCGGUUGUGUAAGUCAGAUGUGAAAUCCCCGGGCUCAACCUGGGAAUUGCAUUUGAGACUGCACGGCUAGAGUGUGUCAGAGGGGGGUAGAAUUCCACGUGUAGCAGUGAAAUGCGUAGAUAUGUGGAGGAAUACCGAUGGCGAAGGCAGCCCCCUGGGAUAACACUGACGCUCAUGCACGAAAGCGUGGGGAGCAAACAGGAUUAGAUACCCCAGUAGUCCCUGAGCGGGCUGGCAAGGCGCAU